Non-coding RNA from Xylogone sp. PMI_703, 145 nucleotides. Lineage: Eukaryota; Fungi; Ascomycota; Leotiomycetes. The record is from the annotation of a GenBank genome assembly.
GGUCGCUUAGCUCAGUUGGUUAGAGCGGUAAGAUUCAUCACUCCACCAGAAGUCGACCAAUGCACAUACUAAUCCGUCUAUCAGUGGUGCUAAUAUCUGUAAUAUGAUAACGCCAAGGUCGCGAGUUCGACCCUCGUAGUGACCA